Molecule: non-coding RNA, 3539 nt
Organism: Chrysemys picta bellii (western painted turtle)
Lineage: Eukaryota; Metazoa; Chordata; Testudines; Emydidae
Source: RefSeq, a predicted model, not a curated record
UGCCAAGGGGCAGGGCUCCACACUAAUCCCUCCCCCCUUCCCACCAGGAAGCCUCGUGGCUCAGCUCCGGCAACCUGCCCUCCCCGUUCCCGGCCAACCACGGCACCAAACAGCCGCCCUUCGAGGGCAGCCAGCCAGUGAAGAUCAAGAGGAGACCGAUCAUGCUGCACGCUGACCCCAGCAUCCUGGGCUAUUCGCUGCAUGGUCCGGCCGGCGAGGUGGAAAGCAUUGACGACUACUGAAGUCUUGUAGCAAUAGGAACUCUGCUGCCUUCUUAACCGAUUCAGUCUUACCUGAAUGUGCACUGCGAAAGGACGAGGCGGCCGUGCUGGGCCCUCCCCUUUCCUCCGCCCCCCCAGCGAGCAGGGGGCACCGGGGCUGGCGGGGGGGCAGGGUGACGCGCGCGCUCGGAUCAGGGGGCGCCGGCGACCCGCCUUCGGAAGAGGAGUAUGUGUGAGCACUUCUUUCUCCAACACACGAAGCACCUUAAAAUGCAACCCGCUGAUGCACUUUAUCAAGACUUUUUACAAAGAACUGAUUAAAAAAAAAAGAAAAAAAAGGUUUUUUUGGUGAUUCUGGAGGAAAUUUUUAUAAAGAAACUUUAAAAAAAAACAAAAAAAAUCGCUCUAGGAAACACUGUUAUUUUCACACGGGGACGAGGAGAGACGUGAAAAUUCGCGAAGGGGAAAAGAGAAGAUUUCAUAAAAAAACAAAAAAACACAAAAAUAGCAAAACUUGAAGAAAUGCACUUAUCGCCCAGCCCGCUUUCCGCGAGCUGGCCUGGUUCUGCCUCACGCGGUGGAGCCGGAUGUAAAUAUCGCUAGAUACAGAGCUCCGUUCUGGAGAUUUGCUCUCGCCAAGAGGCCAUGUCUGUUUUUCUCUUUUUUGGAAGAGACACGUUGCGUGUUGGUUUUUUUUGUUGUUGUUUUUGAAAGUUGCACAACCGCGAAACAACCGACUUCCCCUUCCCUGGUGGUGCCCGGCCGCAACGGAGCUGGCCUGGGAGGAGUAACGCUAACCACGGCGGUUGACUGCAGUCGCCGGAGCCGGGCGCUCUUCCCGCCGGUUCCUGCGAGCUCCGGCUACUCACCUGGCUUAGGGAGAGCUUCUAACCUGCAAAGCUCUCCUGGCUUCCUGCCAGUUCCUGUCCCACGGCCGAGCUCCCCCGUUACUGGCCGAUCAGACGCCUCGGAGCUCCCCCGUUACUGGCCGAUCAGACGCCUCGGAGCUCCCCCGUUACUGGCCGAUCAGACGCCUCGGAGCUCCCCCGUUACUGGCCGAUCAGACGUCUCGGGUGGCUUCCUGCAAGCUUCCAGGCCUUGCAAACUCCCUGCAACAAGCUCCGCCUCCCCGGCUGGAUUUCUUCUACAAGCUCCGCCUGCCUGGCUGGAUUUUCCCCCACAAGCUCCGCCCUGUGAAGCCAGCCUCCUGUGAAUUGUGUCGCUGCCCAGCUGAAAGGAAGAUGAUUUCUUCUGCACAUGUUUUUUUGGGGGGGAAGGGGGGGGUUGAGAGGCCCCUUUUUUAUUUUAAGCUCUCUGGGCAUCUCAUUCAUUUUGCCUUUCCCCCGCCUCGUUAGACGUGCGCCCCCAUCCCAAUGGCCCGUGUGGGGGGGCAGUUGGUUUUUGUUUUUGGACGGAGGAGCAUUUUUGUGCGUGCGGCAGGUGGGGGGGCUUGACCCCGCCCCGCACCCAUUUAUGAAUGUAUCUUUGGACAAGAAUUGGAAAGACGAAAUCCGCUGGCCCCUCCCGGCACCCCGGAUCCACGUCAAUAAAGCUCCAGUCAUGCUCUCUUGAGAGAUUUUUGACAAACCGAGACCCAGUUGACUUGUCUGUGACCGAUCCCCACCCGCAGAGGUGAGAGAUUUCACUCUCUGAUACAGCUGUACAGAUUUUGGAGGGGAGGGAGAAGUCGUUCGUUUGUUCAUUUUCGUUUUUUUAAAUUUGGGCUUGAAUAUUUUUUUUUAAUUGCGCGUAUGGAUCUGUUGUUUCUUUGUUUACAGACCGUCUCUGGGGCGUUGUCUCACGGGACGGUAGCCACUACACAGGGUACCUUUCCGAGUCGAAAUCUUCCCGAGGAGGAGACGUUUUUAUUUUACUUCUCCCCCCCCCCGGCAAGUUAUCCCAUUGGAAAUCAGUGGGCAGGAGGGGAGAAAGUUCUCCCGGCCUUCGCGCGAGAUGACAUGCAGCUUUUCCCCGGUUGUGGCAAGCCAGGAACUGCGCUGUGAAUGCCGCGUGGCAGGCGGCACGCCGAAUGGCCGAACUACAGUUUCUUGCGUGUGUUCUUCCUUCCCCCCCCCAAGUGUUUGUAUUUUUUUUUUUCAAACCAGUGCAGCUUUGGGGGUUAACCCCCCCCACCCGUUGGGUUUCCGUUUGUUUUUUAAACGUUCGUGGUUUAUGAAUUUUUCAAUCGACCAAAUGGCAAAGACACUUGUUUUGUUUUUAAGAUGUAUGUCAAAGGUUGGGGUUGUUUUUUGGGGUCAGGGACCUCUUUGGUUUUGGUAGGCCCUACAACAAAUACUGUGAGGUUCCAUGGUUACUGUGUUAGCGGGGAGAGGGGGGGGUCUUUCCUCCCUUCACCCGGUCAAUGGAUCAAAGGACACAGGAUUUGGAUGUGACCUGAUCCGGUUUUUCACCCCCCUCCCCCAUCAGUCAGUAUUGGCCUGUAGUGGCCUCCGCGCGGCCAGCGUGCAAUAGGCCGCCGAAGGAUUUACUCCCCACCCGUUUGCUGUGUCACGGAAACCCCACCCGCGGGCGAGGGUCCGGCGUCUCGGGCCAGCGAGGUUGCCGGGGAACCAAUGAGCUGACGGCUUCCUGCAUCUGGCUGGGAGCCCCCCCGCCCCCUUGGGAUUCUUGGCGCAGCGGGGGACAAUCCGGCGCCCCGGGAUCUGCAGCAGCCGGCUCACCUCAAUCCCGGGCUGCCCCCCUGGACUGGGCUCAGGUGGGGGGCGACCAGGAGCCACCGUUCGUGUUUGAAUUUGCCACAAGAAUGUAUUCGGUGAUUCGUCGCUCUCGGACCUUUCUAGCUAAGGGCUGUCUCCCCGGUUCGCUUCUCUCCCCCGCCAUCGACUGGGGCGGGGGGGGGCGUUUACACCCAGCCCCCCCCCAGAGUGAUCGGACUCUACAGGGGGCCGGGCCGAACCAAAGUCUCCUCUGGCCCACGGUGGAGCCCAGCCACUGGACAGACGUUUAUUAUCCACCGCGGGGGCGUUUCCUACAAAAUUUGCCUUAUCUUCGUAUUGGUUGUUUUCCCCCCUCCCACGCCCCUCCGAAGAAAAGGGAAACGGACCUCGCGGCCGGGGCAGUAUUAGCCUGGUGGCCGGCUAGCCGCCGGGCCGGACGUGGGGUUUCUAUCUAGCAAUAACGAACUGGACGCGGUGCGGCCCCAGCCCAUGCCAACGCGUGUCCCGCGCUGGACUCGGGCGCUUUCUCAUGCCGCCCAGCGGGGUCGAGCCAGGGCGAGGACCCCCCACCCCAUUUUGUGUGUGUGCGCGUCUCUCGCCCGCGUGGAAUUAAAGUUUGUAGAUAUUUCCUGCCCCCGCC